GCUUGUCUCAAAGAUUAAGCCAUGCAUGUCUAAGUACAAGCCGCUAGUUCGGCGAAACCGCGAAUGGCUCAAUAAAUCAGUUAUGGUUCCUUAGAUCCACUCCAUCCUACUUGGAUAACUGUGGCAAUUCUAGAGCUAAUACAUGCUGUUUUGCCUGACUCUGUGGUAAGGCUGUGCUUAUUAGUACCAGAACCAACCCAAGUUCUGCUUGGUUGCAUCCUGAUUCAUAAUAAACGAAUGGAUUGCAUGCUUUGGCUGGCAAUGUAGCAUCUAAGUUUCUGACCUAUCAGCUUCCGACGGUAAGGUAUUGGCUUACCGUGGCAAUGACGGGUAACGGAGAAUUAGGGUUUGAUUCCGGAGAGGGAGCCUGAGAAACGGCUACCACAUCUAAGGAAGGCAGCAGG
This 404-nucleotide ribosomal RNA is filed under the name uncultured dinoflagellate. RNAcentral describes it as "partial small subunit ribosomal RNA". It matches the Rfam family "Eukaryotic small subunit ribosomal RNA", at positions 30 to 432 of the family's 1831-position model. Lineage: Eukaryota; Dinophyceae. The record is from RNAcentral.